Molecule: long non-coding RNA, 254 nt
Organism: Mytilus californianus (California mussel)
Lineage: Eukaryota; Metazoa; Mollusca; Bivalvia; Mytilida; Mytilidae
Exons: 4
Source: RefSeq, a predicted model, not a curated record
CAAGUAUUAUAUGUAGGUUUGACUGUAAUUAGGAUAAUGUAUAAGUUUAUAUGUAGGUUUGACUGUAAUUAGGAUAAUGUAUAAGUUUUAGUCACAGAAACAAGUAUUAUAUGUAGGUUUGACUGUAAUUAGGAUAAUGUAUAAGUUUUAGUCACAGAAACAAGUAUUAUAUGUAGGUUUGACUGUAAUUAGGAUAAUGUAUAAGUUUUAGUCACAGAAACAAGUAACUUCAUGCAUCUAACUAACAACAUGCA